GACGAACGCUGGCGGCGUGCUUAACACAUGCAAGUCGAACGGAAAGGCCCUGCUUUUGUGGGGUGCUCGAGUGGCGAACGGGUGAGUAACACGUGAGUAACCUGCCCUUGACUUUGGGAUAACUUCAGGAAACUGGGGCUAAUACCGGAUAGGAGCUCCUGCUGCAUGGUGGGGGUUGGAAAGUUUCGGUGGUUGGGGAUGGACUCGCGGCUUAUCAGCUUGUUGGUGGGGUAGUGGCUUACCAAGGCUUUGACGGGUAGCCGGCCUGAGAGGGUGACCGGCCACAUUAGGACUGGGAUGCGGCCCAGACUCCUACGGGAGGCAGCAGUGGGGAAUAUUGCACAAUGGGCGGAAGCCUGAUGCAGCAACGCCGCGUGCGGGAUGACGGCCUUCGGGUUGUAAGCCGCUUUCGCCUGUGACGAAGCGUGAGUGACGGUAAUGGGUAAAGAAGCACCGGCUAACUACGUG
RNAcentral lists this ribosomal RNA (468 nucleotides) under uncultured bacterium. Its description in RNAcentral is "partial 16S ribosomal RNA". It matches the Rfam family "Bacterial small subunit ribosomal RNA", at positions 28 to 507 of the family's 1533-position model. The record is from RNAcentral.